RNAcentral lists this ribosomal RNA (253 nucleotides) under uncultured prokaryote. Its description in RNAcentral is "partial 16S ribosomal RNA". It matches the Rfam family "Bacterial small subunit ribosomal RNA", at positions 525 to 777 of the family's 1533-position model. The record is from RNAcentral.
ACAGAGGGUGCAAGCGUUAAUCGGAUUUACUGGGCGUAAAGCGUGCGUAGGCGGCCGGACAAGUCGAAUGUGAAAUCCCUGGGCUUAACCUGGGAACUGCAUCCGAAACUGUCUGGCUAGAAUGUGGUAGAGGGCGGUGGAAUUCCAGGUGUAGCGGUGAAAUGCGUAGAUAUCUGGAGGAACAUCAAUGGCGAAGGCAGCCGCCUGGGCCAACAUUGACGCUGAGGUACGAAAGCGUGGGGAGCAAACGGGA